This 545-nucleotide long non-coding RNA is filed under the name Pan troglodytes (chimpanzee). RNAcentral describes it as "long non-coding RNA NONPTRT016512". The record is from RNAcentral. Lineage: Eukaryota; Metazoa; Chordata; Mammalia; Primates; Hominidae.
CCCCGCUCCCCCGGGGAAGGAGCACCCCCGGGACCUCAAGUUCAGCAUCGACUACAUCCUGUCCUCCCCAGACCCCUUCCCUGGGCUCAAGCAGCCCUGCCUCGCACAAGAGGGCAGAUACCCGCGGCCGGAGAACGUGGGACUCCACUUUUGGACAAUGUGAUGUGGAGCCACCCUGGAGGCCCCUGCAGUUCAGUCUGGGGUCUUCCCCGGACCCUCCCUGGAAAGACGAUUCCAGCCCCACCUUGAGCCAAGGAAGCCAGGGUUCGGCAAAUCCUACAAUUUCUCCUGCAGACAGAAGGUCAGGUGCCACACCAGGCCUGGACUGGGGGCACAGGCGGAGGUGGAGCUCCUUAAAGAUGGAAGCAGGACAGCGGCAGAUUUGAGAGCAACCACCAGGUCCCUGAGUGCAAACUGACCACAGAUGAGCCCCUCCUCCCCACUGCUGACUUGCUGGGUAUAGCGGAGCAGCACCCCUCCAGAGAGCCCUCCUGGGCUGACACCUGCCCUUUGCACCCAGCUGAAAUAAAACUCUUGGAAUCUGC